GACGAACGCUGGCGGCGUGCUUAACACAUGCAAGUCGAACGGAAAGGCCCUGCUUUUGUGGGGUGCUCGAGUGGCGAACGGGUGAGUAACACGUGAGUAACCUGCCCUUGACUUUGGGAUAACUUCAGGAAACUGGGGCUAAUACCGGAUAGGAGCUCCUGCUGCAUGGUGGGGGUUGGACAGUUUCGGCGGUUGGGGAUGGACUCGCGGCUUAUCAGCUUGUUGGUGGGGUAGUGGCUUACCAAGGCUUUGACGGGUAGCCGGCCUGAGAGGGUGACCGGCCACAUUGGGACUGAGAUACGGCCCAGACUCCUACGGGAGGCAGCAGUGGGGAAUAUUGCACAAUGGGCGGAAGCCUGAUGCAGCAACGCCGCGUGCGGGAUGACGGCCUUCGGGUUGUAAACCGCUUUCGCCUGUGACGAAGCGUGAGUGACGGUAAUGGGUAAAGAAGCACCGGCUAACUACAUG
Molecule: ribosomal RNA, 468 nt
Filed under: uncultured bacterium
Lineage: Bacteria
Description: partial 16S ribosomal RNA
Rfam family: Bacterial small subunit ribosomal RNA
Source: RNAcentral